RNAcentral lists this small RNA (28 nucleotides) under Bombyx mori (domestic silkworm). RNAcentral describes it as "ovarian small RNA-26916". Lineage: Eukaryota; Metazoa; Arthropoda; Insecta; Lepidoptera; Bombycidae. The record is from RNAcentral.
UCCAUAGUAGGGGUCCGCCGAUUGAUCC